GACGAACGCUGGCGGCGUGCUUAACACAUGCAAGUCGAACGGAAAGGCCUGCAGCUUGCUGCGGGUACUCGAGUGGCGAACGGGUGAGUAACACGUGGGUGAUCUGCCUUGCACUUCGGGAUAAGCUUGGGAAACUGGGUCUAAUACCGGAUAGGACAGCUGUUUAGUGUCAGUUGUGGAAAGUUUUUUCGGUGCAAGAUGAGCUCGCGGCCUAUCAGCUUGUUGGUGGGGUAAUGGCCUACCAAGGCGUCGACGGGUAGCCGGCCUGAGAGGGUGUACGGCCACAUUGGGACUGAGAUACGGCCCAGACUCCUACGGGGGGCAGCAGUGGGGAAUAUUGCACAAUGGGCGGAAGCCUGAUGCAGCGACGCCGCGUGGGGGAUGAAGGCCUUCGGGUUGUAAACUCCUUUCGACAGGGACGAAGCUUUUGUGACGGUACCCGUAUAAGAAGCACCGGCUAACUACGUG
RNAcentral lists this ribosomal RNA (468 nucleotides) under uncultured bacterium. RNAcentral describes it as "partial 16S ribosomal RNA". It matches the Rfam family "Bacterial small subunit ribosomal RNA", at positions 28 to 507 of the family's 1533-position model. The record is from RNAcentral.